Molecule: ribosomal RNA, 829 nt
Filed under: Cantharellus intensissimus
Lineage: Eukaryota; Fungi; Basidiomycota; Agaricomycetes; Cantharellales; Hydnaceae
Description: partial large subunit ribosomal RNA
Rfam family: Eukaryotic large subunit ribosomal RNA
Source: RNAcentral
ACUGCGAGUGAAGAGGGAAGAGCUCAUCAUUGGAAUCUGGCAGCGUUGCGCUGUCCGAGUUGUAGAUGAGAAGAGUAGGCCAUCUGGACUGCGUGGUGUCCAAGUACAAUAGGCCGUCAGUGGGACAUCAUAGAGGGUGACAAUCCCGUCCUUGACACCAACGUACGAGUCCAUUACGAUGCCUAUCUCAGAGAGUCGAGCAGUUUGGGAUUUGCUGCUUAAACAUGGGAGGUAGAUUCCUUCUAAAGCUAAAUACAGGCAAGAGACCGAUAGAGAACAAGUACCGCAAGGGAAAGAUGAAAUAGAACUCUGUGAAGGGAGUCAAAAAGACGUGAAAUUGUUGCGAGAGAAGCGAUUCAAGUCAGCGUAGCUAGGCCCAUCAAGCCUUGCUUUGGACUAGCUUUGCCAGCGGUCUUGUCCUUUAGAGAGACUUGACUUUUGACAUGCCCUGCCCGGUCUAACGGGCAGACCUCCCUCUGGGAGGCCAGUGGCAUGGCUGGUGGAAUGGCUUGCAAUCGACCCGUCUUGAAACACGGACCAAGGAGUCUAACAUGUGUGCGAGUAUAAGGGUGGCAAACCCGUAUGCGCAAAGAAAGUGAUAGCCUUUAUGGCUGAGAAUGGCCUGAUGACCAGACAAGCAAUAUUAUGUUCCUCGUACGGUCAUUGCCCAAGUCCCGUGGUCAGAUCCCAUGGACAUGGAGUUAGAGCAUACAUGCUAGGACCCGAAAGAUGGUGAACUAUGCCUGGACAAAGCGAAGCCAAAGGAAACUCUGGUGGAGGCUUGUAGCGAUUCUGACGUGCAAAUCGAUCGUCUGAUCUGGGUAUAGGG